RNAcentral lists this long non-coding RNA (608 nucleotides) under Olea europaea subsp. europaea. Lineage: Eukaryota; Viridiplantae; Streptophyta; Magnoliopsida; Lamiales; Oleaceae. The record is from RNAcentral.
CACAUUUCUCUCCUGCCCAAACAGUCUGAAACCCUCUUCCCUUUCUCACUCAUUGAAUGGUUCAGAGCUUACCCAAUCUACGACCACCAUGACGAAGCUCGUCGAUGACGAAGAUCGAAAGCAUUUGGUGAACCGACUCCCGUUUGUCAUUUGAAUCGGCGAAUCACAACAGCCCUCUGUCAUUUGAAUCCUCCAACGUAGAGCGCUCGACGAUCGCCGUCAAUGACCCCCUCAUUGAUGAAGACCGUCAGUAAUAUCUUCAGGUAGUGAAAAUCAAGUGCGGUCAAAGUGUAUGUUCUGUGAAGACCCAACUUUUACUCUUGAAAACUCACUUUGCUAGAUAUUUUCCGUGAACCAACUUAGAGUAUCCAAUUCAAGUAUGCUCACUGUUUUCAUGUAUUUGUUUCUCUGGAUAGAUGACGAUGUGGCAUUUUGUUUGGGUUUGAUUGCUCUGAUUAUUGAUUUGUGGUCUGUGCUUAAAUGAGGGCUUUUGUUUAAUGAGAGAAGAAGAACUUUACCACAACUCCGAACCUUACCAUGUAUGGGAUUUGGGUAUUUUUCUGUUUUUCAGCGUGAUCUUGAUCUUAAUAAAUUGGGUUUUGACAAAG